CUACGGGGGGCUCCAGUGAGGAAUAUUGCACAAUGGGGGGAACCCUGAUGCAGCGACGCCGCGUGGAGGAUGACGCAUUUCGGUGUGUAAACUCCUUUUAUAUGUCAAGAAAAUGACGGUAGCAUAUGAAUAAGCACCGGCUAACUCCGUGCCAGCAGCCGCGGUAAUACGGAGGGUGCAAGCGUUACUCGGAAUCACCGGGCGUAAAGGACGCGUAGGCGGGCUUGUAAGUCAGGUGUGAAAUCCUACAGCUUAACUGUAGAACUGCACUUGAAACUACGAGCCUAGAGUAUGGGAGGGGGAGAUGGAAUUAGUGGUGUAGGGGUAAAAUCCGUAGAUAUCACUAGGAAUACCUAAAGCGAAGGCGAUCUCCUGGAACAUAACUGACGCUAAGGCGUGAAAGCGUGGGGAGCAAACAGGAUUAGAUACCCUUGUAGUC
Molecule: ribosomal RNA, 439 nt
Filed under: uncultured bacterium
Lineage: Bacteria
Description: partial 16S ribosomal RNA
Rfam family: Bacterial small subunit ribosomal RNA
Source: RNAcentral